UCUGUGUCAGAUCAUUGCAACAUUUUCCCCAUGUCAGUUGUUCCCUGUGGGUCCUCGUUGAUUUCACUUUGUUUUGGAAUUUGGAAACACGUGUGCUGCUCCGUGCCGGGUCGGAGAGCGCAGCCUGUGGGCGUUGACAGACGAGGGAGCAUGAAGCCCUACCAGACUACACAUAUCUGGUGGAAGUUCUGGGUCACACUGUGAUAGUAGAAGAGCAACUCGCCUGUCCUUUCAGGAGUCCGUGUGAAAACAGAGCAGCUGUGUCUACCUUCUUGUGUCUAUCUGAAUUGAAAACAAAAAUAAAGUCAAUCACACAUUU
Molecule: long non-coding RNA, 319 nt
Organism: Labrus mixtus (cuckoo wrasse)
Lineage: Eukaryota; Metazoa; Chordata; Actinopteri; Labriformes; Labridae
Exons: 2
Source: RefSeq, a predicted model, not a curated record